CUUUUCCGCCGAAGCCAAACACGGCAGUCAACCGAAGUUGUUAGCGGUUUCCAUUGCAGGAUCGGUGAUCGUGUCCGAUUGUUACUGCGUAUCCAGGCAAUGAUCCAAUCGGCCAGGUUGUUGCUGCUCAGAAUAGAGAAUCCCAAGCUACGAGUCCCGAGGGAUCAAUGGUUGCUCGUACUAGUACUUUGAGUGUGGGGGCCAAAUCAAUGCUAAAUCUCUAUUAUUAAAGAGGGAUCUGCAGUCCUCGUCGUGAUGGUUCAACCGCAUCCCACCCCCUCGAUCGCACGUGGUAAAAGUACCUCUGGAUCCCGCACGGCCGCACGCACCAGAAACCCGAAAAACCAGACCACGAGCCCACACAUCGUCGCUCAAAAAAAUUGAGAGAAUAAACUGCCCCGCACAUGCACGUCCCACCCCCACCUCUCCCCGAGCCAUUGCCCCCGAUCUCGUGUCUCUCCUGCCAAAUAUCGUCGCCGCCAGAGAGAGGAAGGAGCGCAGCGGAGGCACCAAGGAGGAGGGGGUCGCCUCGCUCGCUUCUGCUGACGCCGCCGCCCCGACGGCCCAACCACCGUCGAUGCCGCGGCGGACGCAGAGAGUCCCAAGCCGCGGGACACCGGGCGCGGCCACCCCCGCCACCGCUGGGACAUGAAGAGCAGGACCGCAUGAACCGGCGAGGACUCCGAGGAGAGCGUCCGCCCCGAACCAGACCCCCGCCCCCAGGUCGAGGUGGAGUUCAUGCCGGAGAAGCCCGACCUCGAUGCUGACGACCCCCUCCUCCUCGGCGCCUUCGCGGCCUCCCCCGCCUCGCCGCCCCUUAGAGAAGGAAGAAAGCAGCAUGGGAAAGGCUACAUUGGUAAUGUUAGUGAUGUCUCGUCAUCCUUUAGGUCCCCCUCGCUACUUCCACCGGUGACCUUUGGAGGACGGGAACGUGGCUCUCGUUGGUGGGAGGAAGCAGCGAUGCAGCGGGGUCGAACAGGCAGAGGGUGUGCCAGCAGGUCCUUGGGCAUGAACGCAGCACCGUCAGACGUUACCAAGCACAUCACAUGUGCCAUAGAGAAGUUCUUGUUCUUUUUCUAUCUGAAAUUUGAAAAAGGCAAUAUAAAUCUUCCUCCACUGAAUGGUUGUAUUAUGCCCUCAGUAUUAAUGAGUCCUGGUUUACAAAGUAAGCAAUCACCCUAAGUUUUUUUCAUUCCUUUGGUAGUUGUGGAUGCAAUACAGUAGCUCAGGGAAAAAAGCCACUCCAUUAGUCCAGGCAAAAAAAUGCAAUCAAUUAGAGCUGGCACACCAUUCAUAUUUGUAGGUUUUAUAUCAUAGUGUUUCUGUAAAUUGUCAAUAAAUUAAAUUCAAUUCAAUACAUGACAUAAUUUUGAUUUCCAGUUGAUUUGCGUUCAAAAUUUUAACUCAAGCACCAUUGUACUAUUUGCAAUAAUAUAUUAGGAUUAGUAAAAUAUCAGGUAAAUAUAUAGUUGAUACCAUCGUUCUUUCAACCCCCUUACCAAAAUUAAGUUUUAGCUCCAAAGCAAGCAGUUGAAUUAGUACUUAUAAUGAAGGUACAAAUGGUUAGCUAAAAUUGAUAGAAACGAUUUGUUUAUGUGUUACACUUCAAACAUGCAUCUGAUCUUGUUCUAUAGUUUACAGGAAAAUGAAGAAGCUAUCAUUUGAACUUUAGUAUGGCAAUGAGAUAGUCGUGUUUGCUCUCUCCAACCUGGCUUAUUUAUUUUAUUUUUAUCUGUUGUAUUACACAAUUAAACAAUUAUAUAAACCAUCUGCUAAGGUAUUCGUUCACAUUUGAAACAUGUAAUUUUACAUUUUAGAAAUUACUAGCACAUAUGCCCGUGCGUUGCAACGGGAGAAAAAAAUUACCGUAUUUUCAUCGCACACCUAUGGCCGAAGGCGCUCCCACACAUGCCUUGCUGCCCUGCCCCCUACCGCUAUGUUAUUGCUACCCCUGGUCAUCCCUUUCAACCACCCAAGUAUCAUAUUUCUUCGGUGAGACUGUACCCACUGCCUCACACCUAAACUGCCAUCCAACUCCCCUCCAUCGAAGACGUUGCUGAGAUCCGUUCGUCCCCUCCUAAGACUCAUUCUUGUUGAGGGCCUCACCAACACCCUUGGACUUCGCUAUGCUCGCCUCAACCCCACUUUCUUCGGCCCUAGAGCCAACUCGCAAAAUCAACUGGCGCAACACGCAUUUUCAGGUUCCUUAUGUGUAGCAAAACUGGAAAAUAUCAUAUUCCCUAAGAUAAUAAGCAUGGAUCAAGACCCACCCUCACACACAUGUCCACGUCCUCUAUUUCAGUCAACACAAAAUACUCAGAUUAUUGAACCACAGUCUCUUGCUUGUUGUAUUUGCCAGCAAUGCAAACAAAUCCUAUGAGCAUGUUUGUUUAAUUAUGCAUGU
Triticum aestivum (bread wheat) is the source of this 2404-nucleotide long non-coding RNA. RefSeq lists it as uncharacterized. The transcript is spliced from 3 exons. The record is from RefSeq and is a predicted model, not a curated record. Lineage: Eukaryota; Viridiplantae; Streptophyta; Magnoliopsida; Poales; Poaceae.